AGCGUACACGGUGGAUGCCCUGGCAGUCAGAGGCGAUGAAGGACGUGCUAAUCUGCGAUAAGCGUCGGUAAGGUGAUAUGAACCGUUAUAACCGGCGAUUUCCGAAUGGGGAAACCCAGUGUGAUUCGUCACACUAUCAUUAACUGAAUCCAUAGGUUAAUGAGGCGAACCGGGGGAACUGAAACAUCUAAGUACCCCGAGGAAAAGAAAUCAACCGAGAUUCCCCCAGUAGCGGCGAGCGAACGGGGAGCAGCCCAGAGCCUGAAUCAGUGUGUGUGUUAGUGGAAGCGUCUGGAAAGGCGCGCGAUACAGGGUGACAGCCCCGUACACAAAAAUGCACAUACUGUGAGCUCGAUGAGUAGGGCGGGACACGUGGUAUCCUGUCUGAAUAUGGGGGGACCAUCCUCCAAGGCUAAAUACUCCUGACUGACCGAUAGUGAACCAGUACCGUGAGGGAAAGGCGAAAAGAACCCCGGCGAGGGGAGUGAAAAAGAACCUGAAACCGUGUACGUACAAGCAGUGGGAGCACAGAGCAAUCUGUGUGACUGCGUACCUUUUGUAUAAUGGGUCAGCGACUUAUAUUCUGUAGCAAGGUUAACCGAAUAGGGGAGCCGAAGGGAAACCGAGUCUUAACUGGGCGUUAAGUUGCAGGGUAUAGACCCGAAACCCGGUGAUCUAGCCAUGGGCAGGUUGAAGGUUGGGUAACACUAACUGGAGGACCGAACCGACUAAUGUUGAAAAAUUAGCGGAUGACUUGUGGCUGGGGGUGAAAGGCCAAUCAAACCGGGAGAUAGCUGGUUCUCCCCGAAAGCUAUUUAGGUAGCGCCUCGUGAAUUCAUCUCCGGGGGUAGAGCACUGUUUCGGCAAGGGGGUCAUCCCGACUUACCAACCCGAUGCAAACUGCGAAUACCGGAGAAUGUUAUCACGGGAGACACACGGCGGGUGCUAACGUCCGUCGUGAAGAGGGAAACAACCCAGACCGCCAGCUAAGGUCCCAAAGUCAUGGUUAAGUGGGAAACGAUGUGGGAAGGCCCAGACAGCCAGGAUGUUGGCUUAGAAGCAGCCAUCAUUUAAAGAAAGCGUAAUAGCUCACUGGUCGAGUCGGCCUGCGCGGAAGAUGUAACGGGGCUAAACCAUGCACCGAAGCUGCGGCAGCGACGCUUAUGCGUUGUUGGGUAGGGGAGCGUUCUGUAAGCCUGCGAAGGUGUGCUGUGAGGCAUGCUGGAGGUAUCAGAAGUGCGAAUGCUGACAUAAGUAACGAUAAAGCGGGUGAAAAGCCCGCUCGCCGGAAGACCAAGGGUUCCUGUCCAACGUUAAUCGGGGCAGGGUGAGUCGACCCCUAAGGCGAGGCCGAAAGGCGUAGUCGAUGGGAAACAGGUUAAUAUUCCUGUACUUGGUGUUACUGCGAAGGGGGGACGGAGAAGGCUAUGUUGGCCGGGCGACGGUUGUCCCGGUUUAAGCGUGUAGGCUGGUUUUCCAGGCAAAUCCGGAAAAUCAAGGCUGAGGCGUGAUGACGAGGCACUACGGUGCUGAAGCAACAAAUGCCCUGCUUCCAGGAAAAGCCUCUAAGCAUCAGGUAACAUCAAAUCGUACCCCAAACCGACACAGGUGGUCAGGUAGAGAAUACCAAGGCGCUUGAGAGAACUCGGGUGAAGGAACUAGGCAAAAUGGUGCCGUAACUUCGGGAGAAGGCACGCUGAUAUGUAGGUGAAGUCCCUCGCGGAUGGAGCUGAAAUCAGUCGAAGAUACCAGCUGGCUGCAACUGUUUAUUAAAAACACAGCACUGUGCAAACACGAAAGUGGACGUAUACGGUGUGACGCCUGCCCGGUGCCGGAAGGUUAAUUGAUGGGGUUAGCGCAAGCGAAGCUCUUGAUCGAAGCCCCGGUAAACGGCGGCCGUAACUAUAACGGUCCUAAGGUAGCGAAAUUCCUUGUCGGGUAAGUUCCGACCUGCACGAAUGGCGUAAUGAUGGCCAGGCUGUCUCCACCCGAGACUCAGUGAAAUUGAACUCGCUGUGAAGAUGCAGUGUACCCGCGGCAAGACGGAAAGACCCCGUGAACCUUUACUAUAGCUUGACACUGAACAUUGAGCCUUGAUGUGUAGGAUAGGUGGGAGGCUUUGAAGUGUGGACGCCAGUCUGCAUGGAGCCGACCUUGAAAUACCACCCUUUAAUGUUUGAUGUUCUAACGUUGACCCGUGAUCCGGGUUGCGGACAGUGUCUGGUGGGUAGUUUGACUGGGGCGGUCUCCUCCUAAAGAGUAACGGAGGAGCACGAAGGUUGGCUAAUCCUGGUCGGACAUCAGGAGGUUAGUGCAAUGGCAUAAGCCAGCUUGACUGCGAGCGUGACGGCGCGAGCAGGUGCGAAAGCAGGUCAUAG
This 2378-nucleotide ribosomal RNA is filed under the name human gut metagenome. RNAcentral describes it as "bacterial LSU rRNA". It matches the Rfam family "Bacterial large subunit ribosomal RNA", at positions 14 to 2415 of the family's 2925-position model. The record is from RNAcentral.